RNAcentral lists this long non-coding RNA (458 nucleotides) under Populus trichocarpa (black cottonwood). RNAcentral's name for it is "long non-coding RNA (PTRI_LNC001606)". The record is from RNAcentral. Lineage: Eukaryota; Viridiplantae; Streptophyta; Magnoliopsida; Malpighiales; Salicaceae.
GAUUAAAGAAAGUACACCUGCAACGUGCAUUUUCACAAACCCUGCAUACUGUGCUUUAACUGAAUUCUCGCUCGUCAAUUUUCUUCUGGCUGCUAAAUUCAGCACUCUCUCCUUUUGGGGGAUCUGCUGUCUUGGUUUCAUUACGAGGUUCAGCUUGAGCAGGCCCUUCUGGAGGAUCUGCUAUCCUGGUUUCCUUACGAGGUUCAGCUUGAGCAGGCCCUUCUGGAGGAUCUGCUAUCCUGGUUUCAUUACGAGGUUCAGCUUGAGCAGGCCCUUCUGGAGUAUCUGCUAUCUUGGUUUCAUUAUGAGGUUCAACUUGAGCAGGCAAUAUAUUGGCCCCGGUGUUACUGGAACUUUCAGGCAGGUGCUCUCUGGAUUUUAUACCAGCUUCCAACUCGUUGUAUCGGAGAAUGACUUGUUGGAGCUCAUCAUGGAGAUUCAGGGCCUCAAAAAGCAUU